GACAGAGGGUGCAAACGUUGUUCGGAAUUACUGGGCGUAAAGCGCGUGUAGGUGGCGAGGCAAGUCGGGUGUGAAAGCCCUGGGCUCAACCCAGGAAGUGCACUCGAUACUGCCUAGCUAGAGUCCCGGAGAGGUUGGUGGAACUCUCGGUGUAGAGGUGAAAUUCGUAGAUAUCGAGAAGAACACCGGUGGCGAAGGCGGCCAACUGGACGGUGACUGACACUGAGACGCGAAAGCGUGGGGAGCAAACGGG
This 253-nucleotide ribosomal RNA is filed under the name uncultured bacterium. RNAcentral's name for it is "partial 16S ribosomal RNA". It matches the Rfam family "Bacterial small subunit ribosomal RNA", at positions 524 to 776 of the family's 1533-position model. The record is from RNAcentral.